GAUGAAGAACGCAGCGAAAUGCGAUACUUGGUGUGAAUUGCAGAAUCCCGUGAACCAUCGAGUCUUUGAACGCAAGUUGCGCCCGAAGCCACUAGGCCGAGGGCACGCCUGCCUGGGCGUCACACGCCGUUGCCCCCCCAUCUACUCCUUCGGGAUUGCGGGGGGGCGGAUGAUGGCCUCCCGUGCGCCUAGCCGCGCGGUUGGCAUAAGUACCAAGUCCUCGGCGACGCACGCCACGACAAUCGGUGGUUGCGAAACCUCGGUUGCCCGUCGUGUGCGUUCGUCGCGCAUCGAGGGCUCGAAAAAAUGCUCGGCUCCGGCUGGGCUUUCAACGCGACCCCAGGUCAGGCGGGGUUACCCGCUGAAUUUAAGCAUAUCAAUAAGCGGAGGA
Molecule: unclassified non-coding RNA, 391 nt
Filed under: soil metagenome
Description: partial contains 5.8S ribosomal RNA, internal transcribed spacer 2, and large subunit ribosomal RNA
Rfam family: 5.8S ribosomal RNA (bases 1-122)
Source: RNAcentral